Molecule: ribosomal RNA, 770 nt
Filed under: Salmonella enterica
Lineage: Bacteria; Pseudomonadati; Pseudomonadota; Gammaproteobacteria; Enterobacterales; Enterobacteriaceae
Description: partial 23S ribosomal RNA
Rfam family: Bacterial large subunit ribosomal RNA
Source: RNAcentral
GUGGACGCCAGUCUGCAUGGAGCCGACCUUGAAAUACCACCCUUUAAUGUUUGAUGUUCUAACGUGGACCCGUGAUCCGGGUUGCGGACAGUGUCUGGUGGGUAGUUUGACUGGGGCGGUCUCCUCCUAAAGAGUAACGGAGGAGCACGAAGGUUGGCUAAUCCUGGUCGGACAUCAGGAGGUUAGUGCAAUGGCAUAAGCCAGCUUGACUGCGAGCGUGACGGCGCGAGCAGGUGCGAAAGCAGGUCAUAGUGAUCCGGUGGUUCUGAAUGGAAGGGCCAUCGCUCAACGGAUAAAAGGUACUCCGGGGAUAACAGGCUGAUACCGCCCAAGAGUUCAUAUCGACGGCGGUGUUUGGCACCUCGAUGUCGGCUCAUCACAUCCUGGGGCUGAAGUAGGUCCCAAGGGUAUGGCUGUUCGCCAUUUAAAGUGGUACGCGAGCUGGGUUUAGAACGUCGUGAGACAGUUCGGUCCCUAUCUGCCGUGGGCGCUGGAGAACUGAGGGGGGCUGCUCCUAGUACGAGAGGACCGGAGUGGACGCAUCACUGGUGUUCGGGUUGUCAUGCCAAUGGCACUGCCCGGUAGCUAAAUGCGGAAGAGAUAAGUGCUGAAAGCAUCUAAGCACGAAACUUGCCCCGAGAUGAGUUCUCCCUGAGACUUAAAGUCUCCUGAAGGAACGUUGAAGACGACGACGUUGAUAGGCCGGGUGUGUAAGCGCAGCGAUGCGUUGAGCUAACCGGUACUAAUGAACCGUGAGGCUUAACCUUACA